UACGGGGGGGAGCAAGCGUUGUUCGGAUUUACUGGGCGUAAAGGGCGCGUAGGCGGUCGUGACAAGUCACUUGUGAAAUCUCCGGGCUUAACUCGGAACGGUCAAGUGAUACUGUCGGACUAGAGUACAGAAGGGGCAACUGGAAUUCUCGGUGUAGCGGUGAAAUGCGUAGAUAUCGAGAGGAACACCUGCGGCGAAGGCGGGUUGCUGGGCUGAUACUGACACUGAGGGACGAAAGCUAGGGAGCGAAUGGG
RNAcentral lists this ribosomal RNA (254 nucleotides) under uncultured bacterium. RNAcentral's name for it is "partial 16S ribosomal RNA". It matches the Rfam family "Bacterial small subunit ribosomal RNA", at positions 524 to 776 of the family's 1533-position model. The record is from RNAcentral.